AACUAACUGAAAAUAAGAGAUCAUUUCUGCAUAUGCAAAACGAUUAUAAGCUGCCAAUUUCACUUAUGCCUCAUUAAAGUAUGAACUCCAUCUUAUUCAAGUGAUAGAGAUAUUGAAUUUGAUAGAAUUACCUUACUCAAAUCACUAUGGUAUGAAAAUUUUUUAGAAAGGAGCUUAAUUCUCUUUUAUGAGCAAAAAUUUUUAUUAAUAUGAAAGAAGUCGAUAAAAAACUUAGCAUGAACCACCCAACUAAGUCUCAGCUAACAGGUCUCCUCAAGAACUUAACCUAGAACAAUAUAU
Molecule: unclassified non-coding RNA, 300 nt
Filed under: Hevea brasiliensis (rubber tree)
Lineage: Eukaryota; Viridiplantae; Streptophyta; Magnoliopsida; Malpighiales; Euphorbiaceae
Source: RNAcentral